CCUACGGGUGGCAGCAGUGAGGAAUAUUGGUCAAUGGACGAGAGUCUGAACCAGCCAAGCAGCGUGAAGGAUGACUGCCCUAUGGGUUGUAAACUUCUUUUAUAUGGGAAUAAAAUGUGCUACGUGUGGGAUUUUGUACGUACCAUAUGAAUAAGGAUCGGCUAACUCCGUGCCAGCAGCCGCGGUAAUACGGAGGAACCGAGCGUUAUCCGGAUGUAUUGGGGUUAAAGGGUGCGUAGGUGGAUUGUUAAGUCAGUUGUGAAAGUUUGCGGCUCAACCGUAAGAUUGCAGUUGAAACUGGCAGUCUUGAGUGCAGUAGAGGCAGGCGGAAUUCGUGGUGUAGCGGUGAAAUGCUUAGAUAUAACGAAGAACUCCGAUUGUGAAGGCAGCCUACUGGACUAUAACUGACGCUGAGGCGCGAAAGUGUGGGGAUCAAACAGGAUUAGAUACCCUUGUAGUC
Molecule: ribosomal RNA, 460 nt
Filed under: uncultured bacterium
Lineage: Bacteria
Description: partial 16S ribosomal RNA
Rfam family: Bacterial small subunit ribosomal RNA
Source: RNAcentral